This 117-nucleotide non-coding RNA is filed under the name uncultured Bermanella sp. RNAcentral's name for it is "Moco (molybdenum cofactor) riboswitch". It matches the Rfam family "Molybdenum/Tungsten riboswitch aptamer (Moco RNA motif)", at positions 8 to 125 of the family's 135-position model. Lineage: Bacteria; Pseudomonadati; Pseudomonadota; Gammaproteobacteria; Oceanospirillales; Oceanospirillaceae. The record is from RNAcentral.
AUUAAUACACCGAGUCUUACUGUCUAAGUGAGUGUUUAUCACCAUAUGACAAUAAGACCGAUGGGUAAAAGUGGAAACGCGAUUGCCUCCCGACAUUGGAAAGGUGUUCAAUGACAA